RNAcentral lists this unclassified non-coding RNA (285 nucleotides) under plant metagenome. RNAcentral describes it as "partial contains small subunit ribosomal RNA, internal transcribed spacer 1, and 5.8S ribosomal RNA". The stretch from base 1 to 54 matches the Rfam family "Eukaryotic small subunit ribosomal RNA", at positions 1778 to 1831 of the family's 1831-position model. The record is from RNAcentral.
GGAAGUAAAAGUCGUAACAAGCUUUCCGUAGGUGAACCUGCGGAAGGAUCAUUAUUGUAUAACCGAGGUGCGAGGGCUGUCGCUGACCCGAAAGGUCGUGCACGCCCGAGUGCCCUCACACACAUCCAUCUCACCCCUAUGUGCACCACCGCGUGGGUCCCCCUUUGGCUUGUUCGGAGGGGGGCUUACGUUUUCACACAAACUUUGUAUGCAGUGUAGAAUGUAUUUUUUGUUUUUGCGAUCACGCAAUCAAUACUACUUUCAACAACGGAUCUCUUGGCUCUC